RNAcentral lists this ribosomal RNA (510 nucleotides) under uncultured bacterium. RNAcentral's name for it is "bacterial SSU rRNA". It matches the Rfam family "Bacterial small subunit ribosomal RNA", at positions 9 to 518 of the family's 1533-position model. The record is from RNAcentral.
GAGUUGUCUGGCUCAGGAUGAACGCUAGCUACAGGCUUAACACAUGCAAGUCGAGGGGUAGCAGGGUAGCAAUACCGCUGACGACCGGCGCACGGGUGAGUAACACGUAUCCAACCUUCCCAUAACUCAGGGAUAGCCUUUCGAAAGAAAGAUUAAUACCUGAUAGUACUUUUUCAAGGCAUCUUGAGAAAGUUAAAGAUUUAUUGGUUAUGGAUGGGGAUGCGUUCCAUUAGAUAGUUGGUGAGGUAACGGCUCACCAAGUCUUCGAUGGAUAGGGGUUCUGAGAGGAAGGUCCCCCACAUUGGUACUGAGACACGGACCAAACUCCUACGGGAGGCAGCAGUGAGGAAUAUUGGUCAAUGGGCGAGAGCCUGAACCAGCCAAGUAGCGUGAAGGAAUGAAGGUCCUAUGGAUUGUAAACUUCUUUUAUAGUAGAAUAAAGUGAUCCACGUGUGGAUUUUUGUAUGUAUACUAUGAAUAAGGAUCGGCUAACUCCGUGCCAGCCGCCGC